AUGGAAGAAGAAAUUGAUGAAACUGUGAGCUCAUUGGAUGAAAAAGAUGAGGAGGAGAGCGAAGAACAAAAGGAGGAAGAGCGGAUUGAUCACCCGUGCCCACCUUCUAAUGAGAGUAACUCUUCAACUCAUACAUUGUUUAAUUCCCCUUGGUGCUUACCGAAGGAUGAUUUCUAUGAUGACUGUUAUGAUCCCUAUGAUUCUUUUAAAAUAUCCUUUUUUGAUGAUGCUUGCUAUGCUUAUGGCCAAGAUGCCAAUAUGAAUUAUGCUUAUGGAGAUGAACUUGCUAUAGUUCCUUAUGUUAAACAUGAAAUUGUUGCUAUUGGACCCACGCAUGAUAGUCCUAUUAUCUUUUUGAAUUCUCCCGAUUAUACUAUAUCGGAGAAGUUUGCACUUAUUAAGGACUAUAUUGAUGGGUUGCCUUUUACCGUUGCACAUGAUGAUUUCGAUAAAUAUAAUAUGCAUGUGCUUGCUGCUCCUACUUGUAAUUAUUAUGAGAGAGGAACUAUAUCUCACCCUCUCUAUGUUUCCAACAUGAUAAAAUUGCAAGAAACUGUUUAUACUAUGCAUUGGCCUUUACUAAGUGUGCAUGAAUUGUUCUUUUAUGACAUGCCGAUGCAUAGGAAGAGAGUUAGACUUCGUCAUUUCUUGAUAUAUGUUGCUUUGUGCUCUCUACUAAAUUACAAAUCAUUGUUAAUUAAAAUUGGCUUUGAUAUACCUUGGGAUCCGGGUGGAUUCACUACUUGA
This 747-nucleotide ribosomal RNA is filed under the name Triticum aestivum (bread wheat). Its description in RNAcentral is "partial small subunit ribosomal RNA". The record is from RNAcentral. Lineage: Eukaryota; Viridiplantae; Streptophyta; Magnoliopsida; Poales; Poaceae.